RNAcentral lists this ribosomal RNA (391 nucleotides) under uncultured bacterium. RNAcentral's name for it is "partial 16S ribosomal RNA". It matches the Rfam family "Bacterial small subunit ribosomal RNA", at positions 523 to 916 of the family's 1533-position model. The record is from RNAcentral.
AUACGGAGGACGCGAGCGUUAUCCGGAUUCAUUGGGUUUAAAGGGUGCGUAGGCGGCCGUGCAAGUCAGCGGUGAAAGCCCGGGGCCCAACCCCGGAAGUGCCGUUGAUACUGCAUGGCUUGAAUGCGGUCGAGGCGGGCGGAACGUGGCGGGUAGCGGUGAAAUGCGUAGAUAUGUCACAGAACGCCGAUAGCGGAGGCAGCGCGCCAGGCCUGCAUUGACGCGCGGGCACGAAAGCGUGGGGAUCGAACAGGAUUAGAGACCCUGGUAGUCCACGCCGUAAACGAUGGGCGCUCGUCGUCGGCGGCAGACAGUCGGCGGCCAAGCGAAAGCGAUAAGCGCCCCACCUGGGGAGUACGGUCGCAAGGCUGAAACUCAAAUGAAUUGACGG